This 429-nucleotide ribosomal RNA is filed under the name uncultured dinoflagellate. RNAcentral describes it as "SSU rRNA". It matches the Rfam family "Eukaryotic small subunit ribosomal RNA", at positions 867 to 1296 of the family's 1831-position model. The record is from RNAcentral. Lineage: Eukaryota; Dinophyceae.
GAUUGAUGGGGAUGGUUGGGGGCAUUUGUAUUUAACUGUCAGAGGUGAACUUCUUGGAUUUGUUAAAGACAAACUAAUGCGAAUGCAUUUGCCAAGGAUGUCUUCUUUAAUCGAGAACGAAAGUUAGGGGAUCGAAGACGAUUAGAUACCGUCCUAGUCUUAACCAUAAACUAUGCUACCAAGAAAUUGGAGGCGGUUGCCUGUUGAUUCCUUCGGCAUUUUUUGAGAAAUCAAAGUCUUUGAGUUCCAGGGGGAGUAUGGUCGCAAGACUGAAACUUAAAGGAAUUGACGGAAGGGCACCACCAGGAGUGGAGCCUGCGGCUUAAUUUGACUCAACACGGGGAAACUCACCAGGUCCAGACAUAGUAAGGAUUGACAGAUUGAUAGCUCUUUCUUGAUUCUGUGGGUGGUGGUGCAUGGCCGUUCUUA